Molecule: long non-coding RNA, 320 nt
Filed under: Anas platyrhynchos platyrhynchos (common mallard)
Lineage: Eukaryota; Metazoa; Chordata; Aves; Anseriformes; Anatidae
Description: lncRNA (ENSAPLG00000024938.1)
Source: RNAcentral
GAGCACAAGGAAGACAUUAAGUAAACAGCAUGUAAAUGCAUGAGAUUUAGGAAGAACCUUGCUUUUAACAUCCGAGUUCUUUAAAAAAAAAAAAAAAUACAGCAGGAUGUCACAUUGGCCAUCACAAUAUUAAGUCAGUGCAAUGAAUCCAGCCUCAUACUGAAGAACUGACUCAGAAAGAAGCACUCUAUCAUCUCCUGACAAUGAAACAGACCAUAUUUGGGGGACACUAAGCAGGAAAAAUCCAUUCCAAGCUGCAAGCAUAAUAUUGAAAACAAUGUCCACUAUCUACAAAGAAAGUCUUCCAUUAAUUGAAAGUG